This 74-nucleotide transfer RNA is filed under the name Myxococcales bacterium. Its description in RNAcentral is "tRNA-Cys". It matches the Rfam family "tRNA". Rfam says of the family: Transfer RNA (tRNA) molecules are approximately 80 nucleotides in length. Their secondary structure includes four short double-helical elements and three loops (D, anti-codon, and T loops). The record is from RNAcentral. Lineage: Bacteria; Pseudomonadati; Myxococcota; Myxococcia; Myxococcales.
GGCGCCGUAGCCAAGUGGUAAGGCACGGGACUGCAAAUCCCUGAUCCCCGGUUCAAAUCCGGGCGGCGCCUCCA